Molecule: transfer RNA, 68 nt
Filed under: Sabethes undosus
Lineage: Eukaryota; Metazoa; Arthropoda; Insecta; Diptera; Culicidae
Also listed under: 1 other name
Description: tRNA-Cys
Source: RNAcentral
AACUUUAUAUUCAAAAAUGAUAAUAGACUGCAAUUCUAGAGGAAUAAUUAAAAUAAUUAUUAAAGUUU